Molecule: long non-coding RNA, 1545 nt
Filed under: Homo sapiens (human)
Lineage: Eukaryota; Metazoa; Chordata; Mammalia; Primates; Hominidae
Description: non-protein coding lnc-LYPD6-2:4
Source: RNAcentral
CCUGCUUCCUCUUUUGCUUGGCUCUCUUUCUCUCUCUCGCCUGCUGUGAUGUAAGACAUACCUUUCACCUUCUGCCAUGAUUGUGAAGCUUCCUCAGCCAUAUGGAACUGGAACCUGAUGGAAUAAACUGCUGUGAGAGGGAGUAUUGAAAGAGCCAUUUCCUCAUCAUAAAGAUGCAGUAGCCAUAAUUAUUCCAAUCAUCCAAAAGAGAAGACUUUAAAGUACAGUAGUUAGCCAUCAAAAAGAGAAGGCUAAUAUCCAGUUAUGAGAGCAUUUUCCCAAGCUUAGGCCUAGGAUGUUUUAAAUAUUAAGCCCUGAUUCUCCUCAUUUCUCUAUAGUGAAUUUUGACCAGACUGAGACAUACUACAAAGGACAGUUGCCAGAAACAACACCCAAAGAUACUUCUCCCCUGGACCUUGUUCCCAGGCUCCGUGUGAAGCUGAACACUCCGCAUGAUCUCCCUGCCACCAUAGCAAGCUAUGAAGUUCAUUACACAUGCAGGUAGCAGACAAUACAGCUCUGCUUCCAUUUCUGAGCACCUACGGUAGACUGCCAUUAUUCAGUGUGCCAGCCUGUUUCCAAGCCUACAAUGUAUAGUUCCUCUAGUACGUAAACUCAUUUUUUUUCUCAGAGAGCCAAGUAGAGACACAGGCAGUUUUCUUCUCAAAAUGUGCCAGAAAUUCCAAAACAAUCUCAAAGCAUUAAAGGCUAUGUGCACAAAGUACAUGCAGUUGUAGAGUCCCUCUUUUGCAGAAACUUGCACCUCAGCCCACCAGCAUUUCCUUGGUGCUUCUCCUCCUGACCCUCAUCCUCAUGCACAGACCAUUGGAUAUUACUGCACUCACGUACUUGUGUACUUCUUUCUAACAGCUGACUGAAAUCUUUCCUACAUUUUCAGGGUGAUGGGCAGAAAGUUUUUCUCAGGAAACAUUGUAGGGAAGCUGGCAGGGGACAGUUAUAUAUAUGGGGAGGGUCACAUUCUAUUAUUCAUGGGUUUCCGUGGUCACAGGGAGUCAGGGCCAGUUGGAAAUGGAAAGGAAAAAGUUCAUGUUAACACAGCUGAGGGCAAGGCUAUGCCGUAAAGACCUGAGAUGCUCCAGGAAAAGGUUCAGGAUGCUUCCUUUUUGUCUUUCGAUGAAACCAAAAUCUACCAUUUCUGUUUGAGAGUUUUGGGAAAGAGAUGGCAGGUGAGGAGGUUAGGGCAUAGAUGUGUGAAUACUGCCACUAUGAACCCCAAAGCACAUUUGCCAUGAUUGGUCUAAAAAUAAGAUAAUAAUCCAAAUGUAGCUAAAUAUAGUCUACUAUCUAGUUUCUCUCUUUUACGGUCUUUGGCUACCAGUGAUCCUUUUUGCCUAUGCCUUGGGGGACUUGGGAAGGACAAAGAAGAGAAAAGAAUCAGUGUAACAUUUAAACAACAGUGCAACCGUGCUGUGAGAGCCAUCUCAACCUGAUGUCCUAAGUAGCCAGUGUUUCCUUCGCAACACAACAAUGGUAAACAAAGAUGUUUUCUGGAUGGCUGAAGCAAAUGUGAUUUUUAUGCUCAGA